This 468-nucleotide ribosomal RNA is filed under the name uncultured bacterium. RNAcentral's name for it is "partial 16S ribosomal RNA". It matches the Rfam family "Bacterial small subunit ribosomal RNA", at positions 28 to 507 of the family's 1533-position model. The record is from RNAcentral.
GACGAACGCUGUCGGCGUGCUUAACACAUGCAAGUCUAACGGAAAGGCCCUGCUUUUGUGUGGUGCUCGAGUGGCGAACGGGUGAGUAACACGUUAGUAACCUGCCCUUGACUUUUGGAUAACUUCAGGAAACUGGGGCUAAUACCGGAUAGGAGCUCCUGCUGCAUGGUGGGGGUUGGAAAGUUUCGGCGGUUGGGGAUGGACUCGCGGCUUAUCAGCUUGUUGGUGGGUUAGUGGCUUACCAAGGCUUUGACGGGUAGCCGGCCUGAGAGGGUGACCGGCCACAUUGGGACUGAGAUACGGCCCAGACUCCUACGGGAGGCAGCAGUGGGGAAUAUUGCACAAUGGGCGGAAGCCUGAUGCAGCAACGCCGCGUGCGGGAUGACUGCCUUCGGGUGGUAAACCGCUUUCGCCUGUGACGAAGCGUGAGUGAAGGUAAUGUGUAAAGAAGCACCGGCUAACUACGUG